RNAcentral lists this ribosomal RNA (253 nucleotides) under uncultured bacterium. Its description in RNAcentral is "partial 16S ribosomal RNA". It matches the Rfam family "Bacterial small subunit ribosomal RNA", at positions 524 to 776 of the family's 1533-position model. The record is from RNAcentral.
UACGUAGGGUGCAAGCGUUAAUCGGAAUUACUGGGCGUAAAGCGUGCGCAGGCGGUUGUUCAAGUCAGAUGUGAAAUCCCCGGGCUCAACCUGGGAACUGCAUUUGUGACUGCACGGCUGGAGUGCGGCAGAGGGGGAUGGAAUUCCGCGUGUAGCAGUGAAAUGCGUAGAUAUGCGGAGGAACACCGAUGGCGAAGGCAAUCCCCUGGGCCUGCACUGACGCUCAUGCACGAAAGCGUGGGGAGCAAACAGG